RNAcentral lists this ribosomal RNA (406 nucleotides) under uncultured bacterium. RNAcentral's name for it is "partial 16S ribosomal RNA". It matches the Rfam family "Bacterial small subunit ribosomal RNA", at positions 30 to 526 of the family's 1533-position model. The record is from RNAcentral.
AUUGAACGCUGGCGGCAGGCCUAACACAUGCAAGUCGAACGAGUGGCGGACGGGUGAGUAAUGUCUGGGAAACUGCCUGAUGGAGGGGGAUAACUACUGGCAACGGUAGCUAAUACCGCAUACCAUCGGAUGUGCCCAGAUGGGAUUAGCUAGUAGGUGGGGUAAAGGCUCACCUAGGCGACGAUCCCUAGCUGGUCUGAGAGGAUGACCAGCCACACUGGAACUGGGCCACGGUCCAGAUUCCUACGGUGGGCAGCAGAGGGGAAUAUUGCACAAUGGGCGCAAGCCUGCUGCAGCCAGGCCGCGUGUAUGAAGAGGGCCUUCGGGUUGUAAAGUACUUUCAGCGGGGAGGCGUUACCCGCAGAAGAAGCACCGGCUAACUCCGUGCCAGCAGCCGCGGUAAUUC